Molecule: small nuclear RNA, 76 nt
Filed under: Homo sapiens (human)
Lineage: Eukaryota; Metazoa; Chordata; Mammalia; Primates; Hominidae
Description: partial ncRNA
Source: RNAcentral
AAAUCGCUUGAACCCAGGAGUCGGAGGUUGCAGUGAGCCGAGAUUACACCACUGCACUCCAGCCUGGGUGACAGAG